CAGUAGCCACGGGAAUACGGAGGGUGCAAGCGUUAAUCGGAAUUACUGGGCGUAAAGCGCACGCAGGCGGUCUGACAAGUCAGAUGUGAAAUCCCCGGGCUUAACCUGGGAACUGCAUUUGAAACUGUCAGGCUGGAGUCUUGUAGAGGGGGGUGGAAUUCCAGGUGUAGCGGUGAAAUGCGUUGAGAUCGAAAAGAACACCAACGGCGAAAGCACUCUGCUGGGCCGACACUGACACUGAGAGACGAAAGCUAGGGGAGCAAAUGGGAUUAGAGACCCCCGUAGUCCCUGUCUCUUAUAC
This 301-nucleotide ribosomal RNA is filed under the name uncultured bacterium. Its description in RNAcentral is "partial 16S ribosomal RNA". It matches the Rfam family "Bacterial small subunit ribosomal RNA", at positions 509 to 807 of the family's 1533-position model. The record is from RNAcentral.